This 492-nucleotide ribosomal RNA is filed under the name uncultured bacterium. Its description in RNAcentral is "partial 16S ribosomal RNA". It matches the Rfam family "Bacterial small subunit ribosomal RNA", at positions 29 to 507 of the family's 1533-position model. The record is from RNAcentral.
AGUGAACGCUGGCGGUAGGCCUAACACAUGCAAGUCGAACGGCAGCACAGUAAGAGCUUGCUCUUACGGGUGGCGAGUGGCGGACGGGUGAGGAAUACAUCGGAAUCUACUUUUUCGUGGGGGAUAACGUAGGGAAACUUACGCUAAUACCGCAUACGACCUACGGGUGAAAGCAGGGGAUCUUCGGACCUUGCGCGAUUGAAUGAGCCGAUGUCGGAUUAGCUAGUUGGCGGGGUAAAGGCCCACCAAGGCGACGAUCCGUAGCUGGUCUGAGAGGAUGGUCAGCCACACUGGAACUGAGACACGGUCCAGACUCCUACGGGAGGCAGCAGUGGGGAAUAGUGGACAAUGGGCGCAAGCCUGAUCCAGCCAUACCGCGUGGGUGAAGAAGGCCUUCGGGUUGUAAAGCCCUUUUGUUGGGAAAGAAAAGCAGCAGGUUAAUACCCAGCUGUUCUGACGGUACCCAAAGAAUAAGCACCGGCUAACUUCGUG